RNAcentral lists this ribosomal RNA (270 nucleotides) under uncultured bacterium. RNAcentral's name for it is "partial 16S ribosomal RNA". It matches the Rfam family "Bacterial small subunit ribosomal RNA", at positions 28 to 291 of the family's 1533-position model. The record is from RNAcentral.
GACGAACGCUGGCGGCACGCUUAAUACAUGCAAGUCGAGCGAGAACCUGGCCUUCGGGCCCGGGGAAAGCGGCGAACGGGUGAGUAACACGUGGGUAACCCACCCUUGGUACCGGGAUAGCCCGAGGAAACUCGGAUUAAUACCGGAUGGCCCAACAGCUUCUCGGAGCGGUUGGAAAAGGUAGCUUCGGCCUCCGACCAAGGACGGGCCCGCGGCGGAUUAGCUUGUUGGUGGGGUAAUGGCCUACCAAGGCGACGAUCCGUAGCUGGU